RNAcentral lists this ribosomal RNA (253 nucleotides) under uncultured bacterium. Its description in RNAcentral is "partial 16S ribosomal RNA". It matches the Rfam family "Bacterial small subunit ribosomal RNA", at positions 524 to 776 of the family's 1533-position model. The record is from RNAcentral.
GACAGAGGAGCCAAGCGUUGUCCGGACUGACUGGGCGUAAAGCGCCCGCAGGCGGUCGUGCGCGUGGGGUGUGAAAGCGCUCGGCUUAACUGAGCGAGGCCAUCCCAUACGGCGCGACUCGAGCCGUCCAGAGGCCGGUGGAAUUGCCGGUGUAGUGGUGAAAUGCGUAGAGAUCGGUAGGAACACCAGUGGCGAAGGCGGUCUCCUGGGGCAUUCUUGACGCUGAGGCGCGAAAGCUGGGGGAGCAAACGGG